Molecule: long non-coding RNA, 1682 nt
Organism: Orcinus orca (killer whale)
Lineage: Eukaryota; Metazoa; Chordata; Mammalia; Artiodactyla; Delphinidae
Exons: 3
Source: RefSeq, a predicted model, not a curated record
CUGGCAGGAAUUAUUUUCCGCCAAUGAAUGGGCUGAAAAAGGAAAAUUGUAUCCUUCAUCACAGGCAAAUUUGGAUUCUAGAGUGCUUCUUUACCUUGACUAAGAGACACCAGAUAUUUUAACUAACGACUAUAUUAAAAAGGUUAAACUUCAGCUUAACUCUUUCCAUGUUAGCAAAACACAGCUUUGCAGAAAAUGCAAUGUGAUUUUCAAAAAAAGAAUAUUUGCUUUUCACAUAGAUUACCUAGCAGAGCAAGCAAGGUGAAAUUCCAAAAUAAUAAACAGGUUCUUUUUCUCCCAUGAUGGACAACUUAGUUCAAAGUGGCAUACUGGAAUCAAAGUGUGGGUGACUUUACAAUCUGUAAUCCUCUGGGCUCCCCUCCAUAUCAUCUCUACCCACCAAAAAGAAAAAAGAAAAAAGGGGCCAUAAAGAUGUCACUAGAACCGAAAGGUCAGGCACAGACUCAGAUAAACAAUUUGAGUCAACACUAAAAGGGAAUUUGGUCAGAGUGGGAGUAAAAGGCAGGGUGAGGCAGAAAUAAGAUGCCUGUUUCUAUGGUUUUAGAGAAAAGCUAAGGCUCUGUGAAGGACAUUUUCUACUGAGAGAAUUGGUCAAAUAGGAGCAUUGAAAGAGAUGAGUUAAAAGACGGGAAGAAAAGUUCUUUUGCUGUCUGUUUUGUGGGCAAGGGUUCUAAGCAUAGAGGUUUAUUUCAAUGACACAACCAGAGGCUUACUGAGUUGCUUACUAAGAGUAAAUCACCCUGAAAGGCCCUUAGAAUGAAAUACAAAAAAAGGGAGUACGGACUACUUAGGGAGCUGACUAAAAUGCAUAUUCCUGAGCCCAGAGGAGGGCCUAGAAAUCUGCAUUUCAACAAGCCAAUCCUUCCCUCCCACAUCCCCCUACCCCCACCCCAGAUUAUUCAAUUCAAAAGUAUUUAUGAGGUCAUUAACAGAAUUUGGAAUUAAAGAGAAGUCCAAGAUAAAGUCUAGGACUGGGCCUUCGAAACCUGCCACUCAAGUUCUUCUGAGUAUAAUGUUAAGGGCCACAGGUGCACCUCGACUUUGAUGUAGUUCCUGGCUACCAACUUGUAACACAACAGAUUUUCCUGCUUAAGAAAGAAUGCAAAACAUACCUGGGCUAGCCUGCUGGAGGAUGAGAGAUGUGUGGAGUCCAGCUGAGUCCCAAGUCAUCAUAGGGGAGGUCAUCCUAGAUCAACAACCAGCCCGUCAACCCCGGAUAUGGGAGCAAGCCCAGCCAAGGUCAGCAGAGCUGUCUGGUUAGCAGCCCCGAACCCUGCCCCCAGAAGCACAAACAAUAAACUCCUACUGUUGUGUGCGAUGGGGGUUUUGUGGUUCUUUGUUACUAUGUUACUCCAAGUCCUCUAAGAAGCAUAUGCCAAGUUAGGAUAAAAUGUACAAGGAUUUUAUUGUGGAGACACUUCUGAGAGAAAACAGAGAGGGAGCGGAACUAGCAGAGCUGUCAGAGGGCAAUGCAAGUCUGACACCAAGUGAAGGAAAGAGGGAAGGAAGGUUGGGUGGAAACAUCUUAGCCUGUCGUGCAGCCAGGAAAGGUCAGCAAGGCUACCAGGGAACCUCAAGGCAAAGUCAGCUGUCAGAGGAGUCUCAAGCCUUCCAGGAACAGGUUGGCCUUAGUAUCCCACUGUGCCCAGCCAUUGGCUGGA